AGAGUUUGAUCAUGGCUCAGGAUGAACGCUAGCUACAGGCUUAACACAUGCAAGUCGAGGGGCAGCAUGGUCUAGCAAUAGACUGAUGGCGACCGGCGCACGGGUGAGUAACACGUAUCCAACCUACCGGCUAUUCCGGGAUAGCCUUUCGAAAGAAAGAUUAAUACCGGAUAGUAUAGCGAGAAGGCAUCUUCUUGCUAUUAAAGAAUUUCGAUAACCGAUGGGGAUGCGUUCCAUUAGUUUGUUGGCGGGGUAACGGCCCACCAAGACAUCGAUGGAUAGGGGUUCUGAGAGGAAGGUCCCCCACAUUGGAACUGAGACACGGUCCAAACUCCUACGGGAGGCAGCAGUGAGGAAUAUUGGUCAAUGGACGAGAGUCUGAACCAGCC
This 389-nucleotide ribosomal RNA is filed under the name uncultured bacterium. Its description in RNAcentral is "bacterial SSU rRNA". It matches the Rfam family "Bacterial small subunit ribosomal RNA", at positions 8 to 393 of the family's 1533-position model. The record is from RNAcentral.